GCGGCGAUGAGCGCCAUGGUCAAGGGCCCCGCGGCGAUGAAUGUGGAGGAGCAGCAGCAUGUCCAGAACGGGCCAUCGCUCGUGGAGCAGCUCCAGAAGCUCCGAGAGGCAGGGUUUUGUACCGUUGAAGCGGUGGCCUAUUCGCCCAAGAAGGCAAGAUCAAAGGCAUAAAGGUCGACAAGAUCCACUGAAGCGGGUUAUGGACAUUUUGGUUUUGUUUUGUUUUUAUUUUCUUCUCAUUGUUCUACGGAACUUGCGUAGUGAAGCGACCAAGCUUGUUCCAAUGGGAUUUACAAGCGCGGCACAAAUGCACGAGCAGCGAUCCGAGAUCAUCCAAGUAACAUCGGGGUCCAAAGAACUCGACAAGAUCCUCGAGGGGGGCAGAACUGAGAUCUAUGGAGAGUUUCGGACUGGAAAGACUCAGUUGUGUCAUACGCUUUGUGUAGCAUGUCAGAUCAUGGAGGUGGUGAGGGCAAAGCAGAUGCUGAAGGAACUUUCAGGCCACAGAGAUUGUUGCAAAUAGAGAUAUGGGCUGAACUGCUGUUGGAGGCGGCGUCUAUGAUGGCUGAAUCGCGACAGCGCGACUGCUCUGUAUCGGACCGAUUUUUCAGGACCCGGUGAACUAUCUGCCAGAAAAAUGCAC
Molecule: long non-coding RNA, 643 nt
Organism: Selaginella moellendorffii
Lineage: Eukaryota; Viridiplantae; Streptophyta; Lycopodiopsida; Selaginellales; Selaginellaceae
Exons: 5
Source: RefSeq, a predicted model, not a curated record